This 253-nucleotide ribosomal RNA is filed under the name uncultured bacterium. Its description in RNAcentral is "partial 16S ribosomal RNA". It matches the Rfam family "Bacterial small subunit ribosomal RNA", at positions 524 to 776 of the family's 1533-position model. The record is from RNAcentral.
UACAGAGGGUGCGAGCGUUAAUCGGAAUGACUGGGCGUAAAGGGCGCGUAGGCGGAUAAUUAAGUUGGAUGUGAAAUCCCUGGGCUUAACCUAGGACGGUCAUUCAAUACUGGUUAUCUAGAGUGCAGUAGAGGGUAGUGGAAUUUCCGGUGUAGCGGUGAAAUGCGUAGAUAUCGGAAGGAACACCGGUGGCGAAGGCGGCGACCUGGUCCGAUACUGACGCUGAGGCGCGAAAGCGUGGGGAGCAAACAGG